Molecule: signal recognition particle RNA, 257 nt
Filed under: uncultured Lachnoclostridium sp.
Lineage: Bacteria; Bacillati; Bacillota; Clostridia; Lachnospirales; Lachnospiraceae
Description: Bacterial large signal recognition particle RNA
Rfam family: Bacterial large signal recognition particle RNA
About the family: The signal recognition particle (SRP) is a universally conserved ribonucleoprotein involved in the co-translational targeting of proteins to membranes.
Source: RNAcentral
UGCAGCCGGGGAGAUAGCGGUGCCCUGUACCUGCAAUCCGCUCCAGCAGGGGUGAUAUCCCGUCUCGGACAUGUUAUUGUGGAGCUGCCUUUUGUAAGUGGCGUUGAAGCUUGGGUCUUACGCAACAGAAAUCCAUGAACCGUGUCAGGGCAGGAAUGCAGCAGCACUAAGUGGAAGCUUCUGUGUGCCGUGAGGGCGCCUGGGCCGAGUUAACUGCAGAAGUAACGUCUGUGAUAAGUGUACAAAACGGGAUGCAC